UCUGACGGUGAGAAGACUACAGGAUUCCCCUAGUAACUGCGAGUGAAGCGGGAAAAGCUCAAAUUUAAAAUCUGGCGGUCUUUGGCCGUCCGAGUUGUAGUCUGGAGAAGUGCUUUCCGCGCUGGACCGUGUAUAAGUCUCUUGGAACAGAGCGUCAUAGAGGGUGAGAAUCCCGUCUUUGACACGGACUACCAGUGCUUUGUGAUGCGCUCUCAAAGAGUCGAGUUGUUUGGGAAUGCAGCUCAAAAUGGGUGGUGAAUUCCAUCUAAAGCUAAAUAUUGGCGAGAGACCGAUAGCGAACAAGUACCGUGAGGGAAAGAUGAAAAGCACUUUGGAAAGAGAGUUAAACAGUACGUGAAAUUGCUGAAAGGGAAACGCUUGAAGUCAGUCGCGUCGUCCGGAACUCAGCCUUGCUUUCGCUUGGUGCACUUUCCGGAUGACGGGUCAGCAUCGAUUUUGACCGUCGGAAAAGGGCUGGAGUAAUGUGGCACCUCCGGGUGUGUUAUAGACUCUGGUCGCAUACGGCGGUUGGGAUCGAGGAACGCAGCGCGCCGCAAGGCAGGGGUUCGCCCACUUUCGCGCUUAGGAUGCUGGCAUAAUGGCUUUAAACGACCCGUCUUGAAACACGGACCAAGGAGUCUAACAUACCUGCGAGUGUUUGGGUGGAAAACCCGAGCGCGUAAUGAAAGUGAAAGUUGAGAUCCCUGUCGUGGGGAGCACCGACGCCCGGACCUGACGUUCUCUGACGGAUCCGCGGUAGAGCAUGUAUGUUGGGACCCGAAAGAUGGUGAACUAUGCCUGAAUAGGGUGAAGCCAGAGGAAACUCUGGUGGAGGCUCGUAGCGAUUCUGACGUUGCAAAUCGAUCGUCAAAUUUGGGUAUAGGGGCGAAAGACUAAUCGAACCAUCUAGUAGCUGGUUUCUGCCGAAGUUUCCUGUCAGGAUAGCAGAACUCAUUAUCAGAUUUAUGUGGUAAAGCGAAUGAUUAGAGGCCUGGGGGUUGAACGACUUACUAUUCUCAACUUUAAUAUGUUAGAACAAGCCGUUCCUUGAAUGGAUCCCCUCGGGAUUUGG
RNAcentral lists this ribosomal RNA (1072 nucleotides) under Ganoderma tropicum. RNAcentral describes it as "partial large subunit ribosomal RNA". It matches the Rfam family "Eukaryotic large subunit ribosomal RNA", at positions 50 to 1117 of the family's 3401-position model. The record is from RNAcentral. Lineage: Eukaryota; Fungi; Basidiomycota; Agaricomycetes; Polyporales; Polyporaceae.